This is a long non-coding RNA of Patella vulgata (common limpet), 501 nucleotides long. RefSeq lists it as uncharacterized. The transcript is spliced from 4 exons. The record is from RefSeq and is a predicted model, not a curated record. Lineage: Eukaryota; Metazoa; Mollusca; Gastropoda; Patellidae.
UCUAUGCCCUCUGGGCAUUUCGGAUUAAUAUUGCAUAUUCCCGGUUAUCCAGCCAGAAUAUGCUUGAACACUCAUGUUUAAAGAAAAACCAAAAAACUCAUGAACCCUGACCUGUAUCACGUGGCCGUAGUUGAUGUCAGUCCGUGCAAACUCUGGUCAUGGUAUAAAAAGCCUUUUUUAGGUGGAGGCCAGAGGAGGUAUCAACCUCCAGAUCGGAGGGGAGGUUACCAGAAUUUACAGUACAGGGGCAGGUAUUACAGCACACGAGGCAGAGCCAGAGGCCGUUAUACAAAGAACCAAUAGAUUGUUCUUAUACCUCGAAUACUCAACAAGCUAGUUUUGGACAAGGUAGCAAUGGCUAUAAUGGUUGUUCCAGCAUGGUCAACCCAGAAAUAUUGAAGACAGCAGACUGGAAGUCGGAGAAGACUUUUGCUGCUUAUUAUAAAAGAGAUAUUUUGCCUUCUUUUUCAGAUAUUGUGUUAAAUAAAAUGUAAACAUGUU